RNAcentral lists this ribosomal RNA (1011 nucleotides) under Trichuris suis (pig whipworm). Its description in RNAcentral is "large subunit ribosomal RNA". Lineage: Eukaryota; Metazoa; Nematoda; Enoplea; Trichinellida; Trichuridae. The record is from RNAcentral.
AUUAAUUAUUACAUGUUUCAUAAUAUUUCCUUUUGCAUCAGGAUUAAUCAAAAAUAAGAAAAAUUUCUAUAAAAGAAAAAUAUCGACCUAAAAAAACAUUAUAAAUAUAUUACAUAGAUUAAAAAUGUUUUUUUACUUGUUAUAUGCAUUAUGUUAUUAGAUACCUUUUUAUUCAUCCCUUUAUGGAUAAUCAUAAAUGAAAAAGUUUUGUUUAUAUUUAACUUAAACUAAUAGUAGGAUUAGAAGUAACCAAGCUAACUUUUUGUAGUAAAACAUUAUUAAAGUAAUUAAUUAUUUAACGCUUGUUUUAAACAAAUUGGUUUAAAAUUAUAAUGACUAAGUAAGUAUACAAUCUUAAAAUCUUUAAUUAAAAUUCAGCACAUAAUAUACUACUGUUUAAUAAAAACAUUGUAAUAUAUAUCUAUAUUAUAAUUCUCCUGCCCAAUGAUUUAUAUUAAAUGGCCGCAGUAACCUGACUGUGCUAAGGUAGCAUAAUCAUUUGUUUAAUAAAUUUAAACUAGAAUGAAAGGAAAAAAGUAUAUUAACUGUUAAUUACAAAUCUUUUGAAAUCCUUUUUAAAGUGCAAAAACUUUAAUUAGUGACAUAAACGAGAAGACCCUAAAAAUUUUAAUCUAUUUUAUUGGGACAAUACUAUUACAUAAUUAUUAUAUGUUAAACAUUAUCUAUGCUAAUUAACUAAAUAAAAUUACUUUAGGGAUAACAGCAUAAUAACUAUAAAGAGACCUAAUCUAAAUAGUUGCUUGUGACCUCGAUGUUGAAUCAUUUUAACAAAACUUGCAGAAGAGUUUUAUCUAUCGUCUGUUCGACGAUUCUACAUUACGCGAUUUGAGUUUAAACCGUUGAAAAACAGGUUGGAUUCUCUUUUGUCACUUUAAAUCUCAUUUAAAUUCAGUACGAAAGGACAAAUUUAAUAAAUCCGUCUAUUUAUAUAUAUAAUAACAUGAUAAAAUUUCAAUAUAUAAUAGUGAUAUUAUUUGGUGUAGGAAUUCU